GGACAGGUGGCCGAGUGGUUAUGGCGUGUGACUCAAGUUCUCAUGGGCUCUGCCCGCAGGGGUUCGAAUCCCCUCCUGUUCA
RNAcentral lists this transfer RNA (82 nucleotides) under Drepanopeziza brunnea f. sp. 'multigermtubi' MB_m1. Its description in RNAcentral is "tRNA-Leu (CAA) (tRNA-Leu-CAA-1-1)". It matches the Rfam family "tRNA". Rfam says of the family: Transfer RNA (tRNA) molecules are approximately 80 nucleotides in length. Their secondary structure includes four short double-helical elements and three loops (D, anti-codon, and T loops). The record is from RNAcentral. Lineage: Eukaryota; Fungi; Ascomycota; Leotiomycetes; Helotiales; Drepanopezizaceae.